Molecule: ribosomal RNA, 455 nt
Filed under: uncultured bacterium
Lineage: Bacteria
Description: bacterial SSU rRNA
Rfam family: Bacterial small subunit ribosomal RNA
Source: RNAcentral
UACGGGAGGCAGCAGUGGGGAAUAUUGCACAAUGGGCGCAAGCCUGAUGCAGCCAUGCCGCGUGUAUGAAGAAGGCCUUCGGGUUGUAAAGUACUUUCAGUCGUGAGGAAGGUGUUAAGGUUAAUAACCUUGGCAAUUGACGUUAGCGACAGAAGAAGCACCGGCUAACUCCGUGCCAGCAGCCGCGGUAAUACGGAGGGUGCGAGCGUUAAUCGGAAUUACUGGGCGUAAAGGGCACGCAGGCGGUUAAUUAAGUUGGAUGUGAAAUCCCCGGGCUUAACCUGGGAAUGGCAUUCAAGACUGGUUAGCUAGAGUCUUGUAGAGGGGGUAGAAUUCCAUGUGUAGCGGUGAAAUGCGUAGAGAUGUGGAGGAAUACCGGUGGCGAAGGCGGCCCCUGGGACAAAGACUGACGCUCAUGUGCGAAAGCGUGGGGAGCGAAACAGGGAUUAGAUACC